This 1210-nucleotide long non-coding RNA is filed under the name Marmota monax (woodchuck). Lineage: Eukaryota; Metazoa; Chordata; Mammalia; Rodentia; Sciuridae. The record is from RNAcentral.
GACGCAUUGACUGGUUUAGCUUUAUGAUGUCUGGUUCAGCCAAGUGAAGCCAUCUCCCCUAACAUCGGCAGCCUCUCCACACUGGUGAGUAAACAGCGUGGGCAGGUCCAUGCCUUGGUUUUCAUUGUUUGCAUCCAAUUGGAGAAAACAAGGAAAAUGUGUUUUCAUGAAGCUAAAUGUGUUCAAAGUAAAAGAACUGUUUCUUACUUUAAGAUAAUAUCUUUGUGGGUUAGGGUUGUAGCUCAGGGGUAGAGCAUUUGCCUAGCAAGUAUGAAGCCCAGGGUUUGAGCCUCAGCAUCACAUUAAAUAAAUAAAUAAAUAAAUAAGUUUUAUCCAUCUACAACUAAAAAUAUAUUUAAUUUUUUUUAAAAGACAAUAUCCUUUCCACUACCUAGGUUACAAGCUCCAUUCUUUUGGGAAAAUAUGGUAAAAAUAGACUAUUAUUUAUUUGUUUAUUCCUUUGCAGUAAAAUGAAGAAACCCUAUGUUCCUCCCCCUUCCAAUGUUACUUAUGUGACACUGCUUCAUUAUAAACACAUUAGCCAUGGGUCACAGUUCAAUAAGGAGAUAGAGACAGCACAUUCCUUCCUGGCCAUACCAGUUUGGCAAAAUGUUCUGCUCCCUUUGGAACUUCAAAAGGUGCUGUAGGAUCACAACGGAGCUUCACGUCCAUCACUGUACCUAUCCACCCUCCUGAUUGGAAGCAUCUUUGCCUAGAGACUACUGCCUUGCUCUCCUUCUGGCACUGAUGAUCCACACAGCGUUGAGCAUGCUGUUGGUACACUGUGUCUUGCAGUUGGAUGUACAUCACAGGUGAAAUGGAGGAACAGCUCAUGGAAUCAAGGAAACAUUUCCCACCUAAGUUCUGCAGACCUGAUCAGCAUCCCUGUUCUGUCACAUAACAGCAGUGAACAGCUAUCCUCUCCCAUUCCAAUUUCUUGUGUAUAAAAUACAAACCUGUCCUAACUUCUGUAAAGUAGGACUACUUCCUGAGCCCUCCACUAGAUCCUGGCUGUAUUGUCAUAUGACCCAUCAUGUGGAAGAACCCAUGUGUGUGUCUUCAUUACUUCCAAAUUUCUUAUUCUUGGACUGGAUGCUCUGCCUAUCUGCACAUUUCACCUUUCCCAGAGGGUUCCACCGAGGAAAGGCCAGAUCUCCCAACCCAAAGAGGUGGCAGGCCAGAGGCAGCUGCCAGAAUGCUUCAAUUAAAC